UAAUCUGUCUAGGGCAUAUCAUCUUUUAGUGUGGUAGACUCACACUUGAUUGCUCAGAAUCACUCGUUAUCACAAGCCCGACUAUAUCAUUGACACUCAUAAAACAUAUUUGAAAUAAAAAGUUCAUAAAAUUAUAGU
Non-coding RNA from Populus trichocarpa (black cottonwood), 138 nucleotides. NCBI's taxonomy places the organism in Eukaryota, Viridiplantae, Streptophyta, Magnoliopsida, Malpighiales, Salicaceae. The record is from Rfam.